AGUACGGCGAGUGAAGCGGGAAGAGCUCAAAUUUGAAAUCUGGUGGCCUCAGGUCAUCCGAGUUGUAAUCUAUAGAAGUGUUUUCCGUGCUGGCUCAUGUACAAGUCCCUUGGAACAGGGCGUCAUAGAGGGUGAGAAUCCCGUCCUUGACAUGAACUACCAGUGCUCUGUGAUACAUUUUCAACGAGUCGAGUUGUUUGGGAAUGCAGCUCAAAAUGGGUGGUAAAUUCCAUCUAAAGCUAAAUAUUGGCGAGAGACCGAUAGCGAACAAGUACCGUGAGGGAAAGAUGAAAAGCACUUUGGAAAGAGAGUUAAACAGUAUGUGAAAUUGUUAAAAGGGAAACGAUUGAAGUCAGUCGUGCUCUUUGGAUUCAGCCGGUUCUGCCGGUGUACUUCCUUUGAGUGGGGUCAACAUCAGUUUUGAUCGCUGGAUAAAGGCUGGAGGAACGUAGCACCCUCGGGUGAACUUAUAGCCUCCUGUCACAUACAGUGGUUGGGACUGAGGAACGCAGCACGCCUUUAUGGCCGGGAUUCGUCCACGUACGUGCUUAGGAUGUUGACAUAAUGGCUUUAAACGACCCGUCUUGAAACACGGACC
This 598-nucleotide ribosomal RNA is filed under the name Filobasidium chernovii. Its description in RNAcentral is "eukaryotic LSU rRNA". It matches the Rfam family "Eukaryotic large subunit ribosomal RNA", at positions 82 to 667 of the family's 3401-position model. The record is from RNAcentral. Lineage: Eukaryota; Fungi; Basidiomycota; Tremellomycetes; Filobasidiales; Filobasidiaceae.